AUUGAACGCUGGCGGCAGGCCUAACACAUGCAAGUCGAGCGAGCGGCGGACGGGUGAGUAAUGUAUGGGGACUGCCCGAAAGAGGGGGAUAACUACUGGAAACGGUGGCUAAUACCGCUUACUAUCGGAUAACCCAUAUGGGAUUAGCUAGUAGGUGGGGUAAAGGCUCACCUAGGCGACGAUCUCUAGCUGGUCUGAGAGGCUGAUCAGCCACACUGGGACUGAGACACGGCCCAGACUCCUACGGAGGCAGCAGUAGGGAAUAUUGGACAAUGGGCGAAAGCCUGAUACAGCCAUGCCGCGUGUAUGAAGAAGGCCGUCGGAUUGUAAAGUACUGUCAGCAGGGAGGCGUUACCCGCAGAAAAAGCAACGGCUAACUCCGUGCCAGCAGCCGCGGUAAUUC
Molecule: ribosomal RNA, 403 nt
Filed under: uncultured bacterium
Lineage: Bacteria
Description: partial 16S ribosomal RNA
Rfam family: Bacterial small subunit ribosomal RNA
Source: RNAcentral